GACGAACGCUGGCGGCGUGCUUAACACAUGCAAGUCGAGCGGUAAGGCCCUUUCGGGGGUACACGAGCGGCGAACGGGUGAGUAACACGUGGGUGACCUGCCCUCAGCUCUGGGAUAAGCCCGGGAAACUGGGUCUAAAUACUGGAUAUGACUCCAUGACGCAUGUUGUGGGGUGGAAAGCCUUGUGCGGCUGAGGAUGGGCCCGCGGCCUAUCAGCUUGUUGGG
RNAcentral lists this ribosomal RNA (225 nucleotides) under uncultured bacterium. RNAcentral's name for it is "partial 16S ribosomal RNA". It matches the Rfam family "Bacterial small subunit ribosomal RNA", at positions 28 to 253 of the family's 1533-position model. The record is from RNAcentral.